GCCCUGGGUCGUCUGUUGACAUUUACAGGCCAAUAGUUUACCUGUCUGUGCUACAAUCAUUGUCAUUGGCGGUUUAAGCCCAUUUGGAAGUUAAGACUUGUUGUGCGUGGUCUAAUUUGUCUUUUUAAUGUUGUUUUUUUUUGUGUGAAGAGGGUGAAGUGAAAGCUACUGGAGAUUGUUUUCUCUGACUUUUCUUAGAAGGCAGCUUUACUAAAAAGGCUAAACCGUCUACAGUGAAAUUUACUAAGACGUUCGCGUGCGGUAUCAGGAAGAAUGAACGUGAUCAUAGGAACAAUGCGUAAUGGGACCAGGGCAACUUUGAGGCAACCUCGGCUAUUUACGGCUCUUGCCAGUUCAAUGAUGCAGUGCUCCACUCAGACCAAUAAACCUGUUGUCGCUGCCAAGAUGCCUUUCAGGGUGAAAGUGACUGGAGGCAAACGCUAUGUCUGGUGUGCCUGUGGACACAGCAAGAAACAGCCCUUCUGUGACGGUGCUCACAGGACUAAGGCACCCAGCAUCUCUCCACGACACUUCACUCCCGAGAAGGAUAGCACCCUUAUGCUGUGUGCCUGUAAGCAAACCAAAAAUGCACCUUACUGCGAUGGCACACAUUUCAAGGUCAUCUUCCAGGAUCUAGUCAGCUCAGUGAAAAAAGUGUUUAAAAUGAAUAACUUUUAAAAAAUGGCAUGACGCAGCUAAUUUCCUUAUAACUGUACCGCCUAUAUUCAUUGUUCAUAAAUCACUUGUUGACAAACAAUUUAUUUAUGAUAAAUGGGAAAAAGGCAUUUAUGUUUUGUCACUGUCCAUAAGGGAAUAAAUAAUGGCCUACUAUUUCAAUACA
This is a long non-coding RNA of Oncorhynchus masou masou (cherry salmon), 841 nucleotides long. RefSeq lists it as uncharacterized. NCBI's taxonomy places the organism in Eukaryota, Metazoa, Chordata, Actinopteri, Salmoniformes, Salmonidae. The record is from RefSeq and is a predicted model, not a curated record. The transcript has 3 exons.